RNAcentral lists this ribosomal RNA (535 nucleotides) under Alloeorhynchus sp. 2 JK-2020. Its description in RNAcentral is "partial large subunit ribosomal RNA". It matches the Rfam family "Bacterial large subunit ribosomal RNA", at positions 1802 to 2613 of the family's 2925-position model. The record is from RNAcentral. Lineage: Eukaryota; Metazoa; Arthropoda; Insecta; Hemiptera; Nabidae.
GUUUACAAAACAUGUCCUUUUGAUUAUAAUAUAAGGUCGGGCCUGCCCAAUGAUUAAUUUAAUGGCCGCAGUAUACUAACUGUGCAAAGGUAGCAUAAUCAAUUGUCUCUUAAUUGGGGACUAGAAUGAAAGGUUUGACGAGGGGUAAGCUUUCUUUAUUAUAAUUAGUGAAUUUUACAUUUAGGUUAAAAGGCUUAAAUUUUGUUAUAGGACGAGAAGACCCUAUAGAGCUUUAUAGUGGAUUUAUAUUGAUUACUUAGUUUAUAAUAUGAUAUAUAAAUAUCAUUAUUUUGUUGGGGUGACAUAUAAAUUUGUAUAACUUUAUAUUAUAAUUGUUCAUAGAUUAGUGUUUAUUUGAUCCAUUUUUAAUGAUUAAAAGAUUAAGCUACCUUAGGGAUAACAGCGUAAUUUCUUUGGAGAGUUCUUAUCGAUAAAGGAGUUUGCGACCUCGAUGUUGGAUUAAAAUAAGUUACAGGUGUAGCAGCUUGAUAACUAAGUCUGUUCGACUUUUAAAUUUUUACAUGAACUAAUUUCC